CCUACGGGAGGCAGCAGUGAGGAAUAUUGGUCAAUGGCCGGAAGGCUGAACCAGCCAAGCCGCGUGAAGGACGAAGGUGCCAAGCAUUGUAAACUUCUUUUGUCAAGGGACAAAAUCAGGCUCGAGAGCCUGACCGAGGGUACUUGAAGAAAAAGCAUCGGCUAACUCCGUGCCAGCAGCCGCGGUAAUACGUAGGGAGCAAGCGUUGUCCGGAUUUACUGGGUGUAAAGGGUGCGUAGGCGGUCUUGCAAGUCAGACGUGAAAACCACAGGCUCAACCUGUGGACUGCGUUUGAAACUGUGGGG
This 305-nucleotide ribosomal RNA is filed under the name uncultured bacterium. RNAcentral describes it as "bacterial SSU rRNA". It matches the Rfam family "Bacterial small subunit ribosomal RNA", at positions 338 to 640 of the family's 1533-position model. The record is from RNAcentral.